GGCUAUUAAGUUUUCCUUAUGUGCUCCUUUUCAUCUCUUCUCUUUUGCUAUUUUUUCUUUUCUUUUUUGGUCCAAACAUUUUUUCCUUCCUUUUGUUCUUUUAAUAUUUUUCUUAGCAAGGAGCACCCAAAAUAGACCACAAAAAAUGUUGAGCUCAAUUGGAUAAAAGACACUAUGUGAAAAAGCGUUAAAUUCACACCUCCUCUACAGAUGUUAACACCUCCUCUACAGAUGCCAUGACGUACGUGCAUCUGCAGUAGCACUACUAUAGACGUGUUAUAGUGACAUGCGUGUAUAGUAAAGUCGUCAAUGGGGGGUCACCGAUAGGGAUAGAUAUCGAGCCAACUCGGCUUAUUAGUGACUCGGCUCAUUAUAGCUCGUCUUGUUAUGGCUCGUUAUACAAACGAGCUAAAAGACUGGCUUGGCUCGGCUCGUUAGCGAGCUCGAGCUAGCUCAUUUGACUUGUCAACCAAAUCAUAGAAACACAGCCUAGAGAGACUAUAAAUUUAUAAAAACAAUUGAGCAAUAAAUAUAUCACAUGCAUACCUAAAAUAAACUAAACAAACUACUUAU
RNAcentral lists this long non-coding RNA (573 nucleotides) under Sorghum bicolor (sorghum). RNAcentral describes it as "long non-coding RNA (SBIC_LNC007120)". The record is from RNAcentral. Lineage: Eukaryota; Viridiplantae; Streptophyta; Magnoliopsida; Poales; Poaceae.